Molecule: transfer RNA, 67 nt
Filed under: Marmota monax (woodchuck)
Lineage: Eukaryota; Metazoa; Chordata; Mammalia; Rodentia; Sciuridae
Description: tRNA.Met
Source: RNAcentral
GGUUCUAGCUCAGUGGUAGAGUGCUUGCCUCAUAUGUGUGAGGCCCUGGGUUUGAUCCUCAGCACCA